GGCGGCAUUGGCGAUGAAGGCGUUCGAUCUCUCAAGAAGUUCGUCGAGGACGGCGGCCGCGUUGUCUGCUUCGAUCGCGGAUGCGACCUC
This 90-nucleotide transfer RNA is filed under the name Acidobacteria bacterium OLB17. Its description in RNAcentral is "tRNA-Leu". The record is from RNAcentral. Lineage: Bacteria; Pseudomonadati; Acidobacteriota.